RNAcentral lists this ribosomal RNA (460 nucleotides) under uncultured bacterium. Its description in RNAcentral is "partial 16S ribosomal RNA". It matches the Rfam family "Bacterial small subunit ribosomal RNA", at positions 338 to 795 of the family's 1533-position model. The record is from RNAcentral.
CCUACGGGCGACAGCAGUGAGGAAUAUUGGUCAAUGGCCGAGAGGCUGAACCAGCCAAGUCGCGUGAGGGAUGACGGCCCUACGGGUUGUAAACCUCUUUGGCCGGGGAGCAAAGAGCGGGAUGCGUUCCGCCACGAGAGUACCCGGAGAAAAAGCAUGGGCUAACUCCGUGCCAGCAGCCGCGGUAAGACGGAGGGUGCGAGCGUUAAUCGGAAGUAUUGGGGGUAAAGGGCGCGCAGGCGGAAUCGCAAGUCAGACGUAAAAUUUUAUGGCUUAACCCUUGAACGGCGUUUGAAACUGUGUUUCUAGAGUGUGCGAGAGGUACGCGGAAUGCGUGGUGUAGGGGUAAAAUCCGUAGAGAUCAAGAGGAACACUGAUUGCGAAGGCGACGUGCCAGAACAUAACUGACGCUGAUGCGCGAAAGCGUGGGGAGCAAACAGGAUUAGAUACCCUUGUAGUC